AAGGACGUGUAUUGCAGCCGGUCCAGCGGGAGACUGGGCACUGUAUAUUACCUCAUGGAGCUUGUGUAGACGCAUCAUGUCGGACUCAGUGGGUGACGAAUUAUAUGGAAAACUUUUGUUUUUCACAAAAUGCCUUUUCCUCGACUUCUCAGAGAAAAUCUGCACCCCGGCCGCCCUCAAACUUUAGGAAGCUUAGACCUGCUACUCAACGCACUGAAUACCAGGCUGCAUUCGGUCCUAAGGUCCUCUCUGCUAAGUUUGACUUCCGUCUGUUCUUACAGCUCCAUGGAAACGGGUUAAAG
Molecule: long non-coding RNA, 302 nt
Organism: Tachysurus vachellii
Lineage: Eukaryota; Metazoa; Chordata; Actinopteri; Siluriformes; Bagridae
Exons: 3
Source: RefSeq, a predicted model, not a curated record